Molecule: small RNA, 202 nt
Filed under: Arabidopsis thaliana (thale cress)
Lineage: Eukaryota; Viridiplantae; Streptophyta; Magnoliopsida; Brassicales; Brassicaceae
Description: ATSL146630
Source: RNAcentral
UUUUUUACUUUUUUGAAAUCUAGAAAGUUCUGAGUUGAAGCCCGAAACCACAUCAUGUAAUAUUAGUUUCAUCCUAAUCAUCACUCGAACCGGCGACCUCUAAGUUUCGCUUAAGGUUUUUACCAAUUAAGGUAACCACUUGAUUCAGUUGCGCAUUUAUCUCGUAGACCGGAAGACUAAGCUUUUGUAACGGUAUAUUGAG